CUGAGUGAACCCCUGAGUGAACAUCUGUGGCUUCCUCCCACCUCGUCUCUGGAUGCACUCCUGUUCGAAUGGGUGUCUGUACAUGCUUGUCCCCUCCCCACGGUGGCGUGCUCAAUGGUGGCUCCCCACAGAUAUGUCCGUGUCCUAAUUCCCGGAGCCUUUGGGUCUCAUGUAGCCAAUGAUGUGAAAAAGUGAAGGAUGCUGAGAGGAGAUCAUCCAGAUGUCUUAGAGGAUAAAAAUGAGCGGGCAGAUGAAGAGAUACUCAGGGUGAGGUUUGGAAGGUGCACCAGGCCCACCCCAUGGAUGUGGCUCAGAGAGCC
This 320-nucleotide long non-coding RNA is filed under the name Homo sapiens (human). Its description in RNAcentral is "non-protein coding lnc-TSR3-5:1". The record is from RNAcentral. Lineage: Eukaryota; Metazoa; Chordata; Mammalia; Primates; Hominidae.